GGUGCCCGGCGUCUGAACCGCUGGGUGAAUGGAGAAAACGAAGAAAGCCUGUUGUCCUGUUGUUUUUUUGAUAAAGAGCAAAUACCUACGCAUGUGAAACUUGGUUAUGUAAGACACGCUGAAAGAGCUUUCAUCCCCAAACCAUUGCAGUGUUAAGAAUUGUAAAGGAUUUGGCCAUGUUUCAGUAAGGCGCUACAGAGGGUAGUGCAUACAGCCCAGUACAUCACUGGGGCCGAGCUUCCUGACGUCCAGGACCUCUAUACCAGGCGGUGUCAGAGGAAGGCCCUAAAAAUUGUCAGACUCCAGUCACAGACUGUUCUCUCUGCUACCGCACAGCAAGUGGUACCGGAGCGCAAAGUCUAGGACCAAAAUGCUUCUUAACAGCUUCUACCCGCAAGCCAUAAGACUGCGGAACAAUUAAUCAAAAGACCACCCGGACAAUUUACAUUACCCCCACCCCCCCUUUUUGUUUUUAGACUGCUGCUACUCGCUGUUAAUUAUCUAUGCAUAGUCACUUUACAAAUGACCUUGACUGACCUGUACAGUACAGUACAGCUGGUUGGCAGCAGGUUUCCCACUAGAGCCUUCAGACAUGCAGAGGGGGACCUGAAGACAAGUACGGUUAUGAAGAUAGUUAUUGCCACACGCCCCUCUGUGCCUUCCCUCCACCUCCCUUCUCUCUCCAGAUAACCAGCUGCUUCUCCAUCUGAGUC
Molecule: long non-coding RNA, 713 nt
Filed under: Salmo trutta (river trout)
Lineage: Eukaryota; Metazoa; Chordata; Actinopteri; Salmoniformes; Salmonidae
Description: lncRNA (ENSSTUG00000034514.1)
Source: RNAcentral